Molecule: long non-coding RNA, 4306 nt
Organism: Hemicordylus capensis (graceful crag lizard)
Lineage: Eukaryota; Metazoa; Chordata; Lepidosauria; Squamata; Cordylidae
Exons: 2
Source: RefSeq, a predicted model, not a curated record
CCGGUAAGUGUUGGGCACAUUCUGAGCAAGGUGGCUCAAACACAGAGGAGUGUCAACAUUUUUACUGGCCUCGGUGCCUUUUACAACAGACUGAUAAGCAUAAAAUUAGCAGAUCAAGCUUUCACAGUUUUUGGUGCUAUUCCACACUGAGUGAUGGUCUGCUCUGACCAGUAGGAGGCAGGCUAUACCAAGGGUUCUUCUAGAUGCCCUUCAGGAUCAUCCCUCAAGCCAUUGGACAAAUGGGCAGGUUCUCAGACAGUCCCAAUCAGGGUAGGAGGAGUGCUCAGCCAGGGUAGGAGAGCCAGGCAUGCUCCUGAUUGUGAACUGGGAAAGCAAGGUAGGAAGAGGGGACAGUGAUCUCCCUCCUGGGUAGGACAGUUUUUGGUUAAAUACUGGGGAGAAACUCCCACCUUCCAUACGAUCACUCUCCCCUUCUCCGACCUUGCUUUUUGAGCUUAUACGACUCGAUCAAGAGUGUGCCUAGUUCUCCUAUCCUAGCUCAGCGCUACCUGAUGAGGAUCAUGUGAACCAGUCUUAAUUUCUUCCAAAGCAUCCCUCAAAGACUGAAAAGAUGACUUGGAAUCCAAGGGUCAUAGCUUAAGAACACAAGAUCCUGUGUUGGAUCAGACUGAAGACCAAACAUCUUUUCCCCCAUAGUAGCCAGACAGACUUCUCUGGGAAACCCACAAGCAGAACGUGAAGAUAAUAGUGCUCUUCCAUUGUUCCAGCAACGGGUCUUCAGAGGCAUGCUGUCCCUGAACCUAGAGGACUGACAUCAGUUUUCCCAACAAUGUGUUUUUUGGCUUUAAAAGCUGCAUCACAUCAUGCAGAAAAGGACUCAACAGCUGGCUUUCCUCACUGGAGAAAAUAUAACCUUGGGGAAGUGAUAAAAUUCUGAAUAAGUUCAUUUGAUUAAAAACUCCACUUUCCACUUCCACACAGUGGAAUCAAGACUGUUGCCUGCCUGAGACUGAGAGGCAGAAUUUAAGGGAAACCCAAGUAGACUGCAAAUUGCUCCAAGAGGUUCUCUAACUAAGCAAACGAGCAACAAAAUGGCAACUGAGGUUCAAUAUAAGUAUAAAGCGGUGCACACUGAAGUAAAAGACACUAGUUUCACACAUACUCAAAUGGGUCCUGUAGUGGCAGGAUUAUUACAAUUUAUAAGGAAUUGAGUUGAAAUUUUUUAUUAUUUAUUUAUUUGCAUUUUAUAUCCCGCUCUUCCUCCAAGGAGCCCAGAGCGGUGUACUACAUACUUAAGUUUCUCCUCACAACAACCCUGUGAAGUAGGUUAGGCUGAGAGAGAAGUGAGUCACUCAGUGAGUAUCAUGGCUGAAGUGAGGCCCAGAGUCCCUCAGCAAGUAUCAUGGCUGAACGGGGAUUUGAACUCGGGUCUCCCUGGUCCUAGUCCAGCAUGCUAACCACUACACUACACUGGCUCAUACAUAAAAUGGGCUGACCCAAAUAAAAUCGGCAGUAUCAUAAUGCCUAUAUUAACCGCCCUGAGCCAUUUUGGAAGGGCGGUAUACAAAUAAAAUAAAAUAAAAUAAAUGUGUGUGUGUGUGUGUGUGUGUAGAUAGAUAGAUAGAUAGAUAGAUAGUAAGUAUUUGGAUUACUAUGUUUAUAGUUACCCUUUCUCACUGAGCAAAGAUACAUCUUUUAAAGUGGUGAUUAUCUUAUCUUUAGCAGGGGGAGAGCAACAAACCCAUAGCCAAGAGGUGGCUAGGAGGUGACACAUGCACCCCGCCCCUAGCUGCAGUUGUCCCCGCCCCCCCAGACAAGUUCUCUGUGACUCCUGAUUUCUCUUCUUUCAGUCAGGAGGAGUGCAACUGGUCCUAUCCAACCCCAGCAGAGCGUCCCUUCAGUGGCUGUUGCUGGUGUCUACCUUAUGUUUCUUUUUAGACUGUGUGAGCCCUUUAUGGGGUCAGGCAACCAUCAUAUUUAUGUACUAGCUUUAAGUACCCAGCGUUACUCGGGCUUAUGGUGCGAGUUUCUCUUUGUUAUUGCAUCCAUUGUGGAUAUACCCGUUGUAUAGCCAUCUGUCUAUGCUAGGUGGUUGUUGGGGUUCACAGGUACCCUAUGUUACUUGUAGGGUCCUAGGAAGCAACUGUGAAAGGUUUGGUCCCAAUAGCUCAAAGGGUGUGGGGAAUUUAUAGAGGAAAGACAGACAGACAGACAUUCAAUUUUAUAUAUAUACAAGAAGAUUUUCCUGUGUAAAUUGCUUCAAGAACUUUGGUUGAAGACCAGUAUAUAAAUAUUUGUAGUAGGAGUAGAUCUCAAAAAGGAUAUUGCAGAAUCAAAAAGGAUAUACUGUACUAUAGGGGGAAACAGGGUGCUGAACUAGACGUGCUCUUUCUCUGUAGCUGCCCUGAGCCUAUGCAUAUUUACUCCCAAGGAGCAUAAGCUUUGGCUACAACAUUUUGCAGUUUACUAGGGAUUGUCUUAUGGGCUUCACUGAAAUUUAUUUAGCCUUGGAAAGGAUAUUUAGCUGCCGUGACGUGUCUGUACCUACAAAGAUUAGAAUCGUUGGGACAAUGUUUUUCCCCAUGACACGCUAUGGAUGCAAAAGCUGGACUUUGAAGAAGCAAGAUAGAAAAAGUAUUGUUUGUCGCUUUUGGACUUUGGUGCUGGAGAAGACUUUUGAGGAUACCAUGGACAGCCAGGAAAACAAACAAAUGGAUCAUGGAACAGAUCAAUCCAGAAUUUUCACCGAGGCACAAAUGACCAGGCUCAAACGAUCAUAUUUUGGACACAUCAUGUGAAGACCCAGCUCCCUUGAGGAAUCCGUAAUGCUGGGGAAAGCGAAGAAGCGGAUGACCAGCAGCAGCAAAGCGAUCACGAAUGCACCACUGAUAGACAUUAAAGGCCAAGUGGAAGACAGAUCAUCCUGGAGAGAAUCUAGCUAGGUGGGCGCUAAGAGUCGACACCGACUUGAAGGCACUUAAGCAAGCAAGCAAGCAAGCAAGCAAGCGUACAUAAGAUUCCCUUGUGACAAAACGACAAAGAGGAAAAGCUGUGCUUUGGCAGCUGGAUCCUGUAAACAUUUACCCCGAGGAAAGUCUUGCUGAGCGAGACAGCUUCCAAGUCAGCAUGCAUUGGAUCAUCGCAGCCAGAAGGCAUUCUGAUGCUGCUACUUUCACCAGUUAAAAAUCCCCUAGGCAAAGUUUUCCUAUGAAUUGACAUGAGUCCUGCGAUGUUGAAACUGUCUUUUAAUCAAAGCUUUGACCUGAAUUCUCUGAGGCCUAAUAAAGAGCCUUUGGCUCCAGAUACCAGGCCUUUCUCACGCCUUCUUCACACUCUCGUCUUGUGUUGCUUUGUUAUCUUGAAACCAGCAACAGUCAUAAACUGUGUAGGCCUCUAGUUUAAUCUUCAAAGUGUCCUUGAUGUAUUCUGGCUUAGAAUGGUUCUAUGCAGUGUCAAGCAAUAACAAUGUCACUAUUGUUUGGAUGUGGAUGCUUGGUAUUGUGAUGGAUCACCAGACCAUCUUCCUGGCCUUUGAUUCGCCAGAGGUGUGGAUUUUGUAUCCUGGGAGAGAAGCUAUUACAGGGCUGCUCUCCUUUUGGGGAAUCUGUUCCUGAGAGUUGCACUUCAUUUAUCUCUAUAGUGGCAAAUAAAGGCUGAUUCCGACUCCCUUGGUGUGUGAGUAAUUGAGCAUCUCACGCGCCAGGUAAAUGUUCCCGGUUCAAGGAUAAGACUACCAAUACGAUUUAGCAUGGAGAAGCUGAUUAUCCAACGGCGGCAGCAACGUUAUUAUUUAUUCUUGUUGUUUCAAAAUUCAGUUGGUGUUUGUGUGCCGAAAACUACUACACACUAGACACUUCCGGGAGGGGAGAAACUGUAAGAUCCCCUCUAAGGAGUGGGUCUGCCCUUGUGGUUCUGGGGAAGUGGAGUCAACAGCCCAUGUUAUCUUGAAUGGUCAGUUUUAUCAAACUUUGCAGGAGAUAUACAAGUUCUUUUUUAACAGCAUACCCCAGUUGUUCUGAGCAGUUCUAUCUGGAAUUACUUUUAACAGACCAUUGGGAUGUAGUGUUUUAUAACCUGGCAAAGUAUUGUUUUCUGGUUAACAAGACUAGGAUAAGAAAUGUUGAGAAGCGAGAUAUGGGGUUGGAUUGAAUUAAAUUUUAGAUUAUUAUAAUGCACGGAGCCCUCUGUUGUAUGUAAUGGAUGAACCCGGUGUUGUGGUUCUGUUUUAUGCUUUAAUAGUUUAUUACUCUAUUUGACCACCUUCCCUUUUAUGUAAAGCUUUUGUAUUUUGUGUCUUGCUGGUCGAAGGACCCUAACAAUAAAGAUUGGAUUGGAUUUGACUAGA